Non-coding RNA from Leptonychotes weddellii (Weddell seal), 478 nucleotides. The record is from RefSeq and is a predicted model, not a curated record. Lineage: Eukaryota; Metazoa; Chordata; Mammalia; Carnivora; Phocidae.
AUUGGUGAAGGUGAUCUUCUUUACUCAUCUACUGAUUCAAAUGCAAAUCUCUUCCAGAAAUACCCUCACAGACCAUCCAGAAGUAAUGUUUUACAGUGGUCUGGGCAUCCCUUAGCCCAGUAAAGUUGACACAUAAGAGUAACCAGCACAAAUAACUGCAAUUGAAGGAUAAAUGCUCCAUGUUUCUCUGCCAGUUGGCGUUUAUCAGAGGACACUGGAAGAAGAGGGACAAAGGUGCCUGGAUGUUUGUCUGUGAGCCUAAGCCUGUAAUUUUCUGAAGCAAAGGUGCUGGUGAAGUUGCCUCAUAAAAAAGCAAACCUUCCAGAAUCUUCCAUUGGUGAACUGUCACCUGCAAAGACCUCUGAGAGGUACAGUAGAAAAUUCUGCCUUAUUCUCCUCUCUCUCCCUUUCCAUAAGUCACUCACAGCCCUGCCAACUGAAUUUGGAGGUGGUGCUAUCUGAUGCUGCAAUUCAUUAA